AGUGAACGCUGGCGGUAGGCCUAACACAUGCAAGUCGAACGGCAGCACAGUAAGAGCUUGCUCUUACGGGUGGCGAGUGGCGGACGGGUGAGGAAUACAUCGGAAUCUACUUUUCGUGGGGGAUAACGUAGGGAAACUUACGCUAAUACCGCAUACGAUCUACGGGUGAAAGCAGGGGAUCUUCGGACCUUGCGCGAUUGAAUGAGCCGAUGUCGGAUUAGCUAGUUGGCGGGGUAAAGGCCCACCAAGGCGACGAUCCGUAGCUGGUCUGAGAGGAUGAUCAGCCACACUGGAACUGAGACACGGUCCAGACUCCUACGGGAGGCAGCAGUGGGGAAUAUUGGACAAUGGGCGCAAGCCUGAUCCAGCCAUACCGCGUGGGUGAAGAAGGCCUUCGGGUCGUAAAGCCCUUUUGUUGGGAAAGAAAAGCAGCAGGUUAAUACCCCGCUGUUCUGACGGUACCCAAAGAAUAAGCACCGGCUAACUUCGUG
Molecule: ribosomal RNA, 491 nt
Filed under: uncultured bacterium
Lineage: Bacteria
Description: partial 16S ribosomal RNA
Rfam family: Bacterial small subunit ribosomal RNA
Source: RNAcentral